UGUUCAGAGAGAUGUUAUUAAACACCUCUGGAGCAAAUGAGAAUUGAACUUGGGCCUUUCACUCCAGGGGUAGGGACACCACCACUGUGCUACAAGAGGGCCCCUGACAGAAAGAAAGAAUUGACUAAAUCAGAUUUUUUUUUAAAUUGCAUUCAAAUUUCACCAUCUGCUGUUUAAGAUUCAAAUCAAAACCUCUUUGCUGUUAUCCUGGGUCUCUGGAUUAUUUGUCCAGUGUUAUCACCACUAUGCUACCGUCUUUGGUGUCUGGGCCCUCCCCCAUCACUUUUAACGAUCUCCAGUAUCAGUCUGACUCCAUGACAAUCUGGCUGCUAGUCUCUGAAUGGACCUUAAACACACAAUUUUGAGCCCGUGCAAGAUUUUCCCAAGUUGUGGGAAACUUUCCAGGGUCAACAAGGAAAGAGCAGAGCACAGACUCUCUGAAACGUCUGGAAGUCAAGGACCUGAACUGUACAACAGCCUCGUUGUCUAGAGUGUUCAUGUAGCUUACUCGAGGACACAAGGGAAUCCUCGAAGGACGUGGGUGAUGCGACCCAAUGAGAAGCCCUACAUAUAAUGCAGAGGAAAGAUACAACUGGAGCCAAAUAAACACUAGUACAUUCAUCGUGAAAA
Non-coding RNA from Chiloscyllium plagiosum (whitespotted bambooshark), 630 nucleotides. Lineage: Eukaryota; Metazoa; Chordata; Chondrichthyes; Orectolobiformes; Hemiscylliidae. The record is from RefSeq and is a predicted model, not a curated record.